UCCCCCUGUUUAUCAAAAACAUGCCCUUUUGUUUAUACGUAGUAUAAAAGGUUGGACCUGCCCAGUGGUUUAUCUAAACGGCUGCAAUGAAUAAUUGUACAAAGGUAGCGAAAUCAGUUGUCCUUUAAAUGGGGAAAGGUAUGAAAGGUUUGACGAUAAAGAAGCUGUCUCUUAAAAAUAGUGUGAAGUUUCCGUUUAAGUGAAAAGGCUUAAAUUUUUGAAAAAGACGAGAAGACCCUAUUGAGCUUGAUUAUAUUUUUUUUAUUAAGAAAGUUGAAGUUUUAUUGGGGCAAUAAGAAGCUAUAAGGAACGCUUCUUUUUAAGGUAAAGAUCCUCCAUGGGAGAAGUAAGCAAAAGUUACCAUAGGGAUAACAGCGUUAUCUUUCUUAAGAGUUCUAAUUGAGGGAAAGGUUUGCGACCUCGAUGUUGGAUUAAGAUGUCUUUUUGGUGCAGCAGCUAAAAAAGUAAGACUGUUCGUCUUUUAAAAUUUUACGUGAUCUGAGUUCAACGG
RNAcentral lists this ribosomal RNA (511 nucleotides) under Calyptogena pacifica. Its description in RNAcentral is "partial 16S ribosomal RNA". It matches the Rfam family "Bacterial large subunit ribosomal RNA", at positions 1795 to 2617 of the family's 2925-position model. Lineage: Eukaryota; Metazoa; Mollusca; Bivalvia; Venerida; Vesicomyidae. The record is from RNAcentral.